RNAcentral lists this long non-coding RNA (2038 nucleotides) under Homo sapiens (human). Its description in RNAcentral is "HSALNT0178379". The record is from RNAcentral. Lineage: Eukaryota; Metazoa; Chordata; Mammalia; Primates; Hominidae.
CCCUGGGCUGGCUGCGUCUCUAUGGCAACCGCGCGCGCCGAGGGGGGCGCGAGCGCCGGCUCCGCCGCCGCCACCGCCUCUUCUCCUGGGAAGCGACCCCACCCUUUUCUGCAGCUCUCGGUCUCCGCCGCUGCCCGCGAAUGAUGCUGCAGCCGCUGCCGCCGCCGCCUCUGCCUCUGCUGCAGGGAAGCGGCCCCACCCUUUUAUGCUGCUCAGCAGUGAGAAAAAAAUCCAGGAACGAUGCUGACUGAAAGAGUGCUGCAGAAAAAAACAAAACAAAACAAAAACACCUGCUGUCGUCAGCUUGCGCUGCUGGGAGCUUGCCUUCCCUCCCCACCACCCUCCGCCCUGGCAGCUCCUCCCUCCUCUACUCCCGGGCAACAGCAGAAUCUGGGGACGUAGUGGGUUCAAGUCCCAAGCUCGUGAGGACUUUCUGUCCUUGUGCUUGUCGCUUCAUCCCCAGGAGUCGGAGGCUCCUCUUUUGUAAAAUAGGGCCAAUGGGGGGGGGGGGUGCUAUUAAAUUUUAAAACAUGGAGGAAACUCCUAGUGAAAUGUCUGUCCCAGAAUAGAUGCUUUGAAAAGGGGAGCUGCUGGAAUUGGUCAAAACCGGCGGGCUGUGUUUGAGCCCAGUUUGGUUGCCUCCUGGUUCAAGCACUUGCCAGUCUUACGCACAGGCCUUGCUCAGAUGUGUCGGAAUGGGAGCACCAGGGCUGGUGGUGCCCUGGAUGUUCCUUUCCUAGGGAAUCUUUGCGAAGGUAUGUUUUAGACUCCCCCAAGAACCGCCCAGUCCCUGUUCAGUUCAGGUGCCACACUGGGGCAGAGGUAGAGAAAAGAAAAUUCUGGAAAGUGGCUUAAUUGUGGAGGUUGGGAGUAGGUAGGACCUGUGCCCUAGGAAACGGCAGUGCCUGGCCUGCAGGGGCCUUCUGGCACGUUCUCACUCCUCGCCGUUGCUCUUCUUCUAUCUUCAAAGCAGAAGAGAUUUUGAAGUCCGAAAGACCUGGUUUGGCUCUGCUACUCUCUGUGCCACUUGGGCAAGUUGAGUCAUCCCUGUGUUUCAGUCUCCUCAUCUGUAGAAUGGAGGAAAUACUACCUGCCUCAAAAAUGGUUUUGUGGGCCGGGCGUCGUGGCUCACACUUGUAAUCCCAGCACUUUGGUAAGCUGAGGCCGGUGGAUCACCUGAGGUUGGGAGUUCAAGACCACCCUGGCCAACAUGGUGAAACCCUGUCUCUACUAAAAAUACAAAAAUUAGCUGGGCAUGAUGGUGCGUGCCUGUAAUCCCAGCUACUCAGGAGGCUGAGGCAGGAGAAUCGCUUGAACCUAGGAGGUGGAGGUUGCAGUGAGCCGAGAUAGUGCCAUUGCACUCCAGCCUGGGUGACAAGAGCAAAACUCCAUCUCAAAAAGAAAAAAAAAGUGGUUUUGUGAGGAUAGCGAAGGACCCAGGGCAGAAGCUUUGAGUCAAAUCUAAUCUGCAGAGAUUCAAAUCCUGGCUUUUGUAGCUCUUAACUGUAUGGCAGUGGGCAAAUCACUGCAAUCUUCUGACCUUCAGUUUCAUCUAUGAAUGGGGGUACCAAUACUGAACUUGCAAGGUUGUUCUGAGAAUUAAAAUGAGAUAAUGCACUAAAAAUGCUUACCACAACAUCUGGCAUAUGGCAAUGGCUCAAUAAAUGGUAGCUAUUAGUAUCCAAAAGGCCCACCCAGAAGACCCAUAAGUGGAGUGUCCUAAGAAGCCACUUGGACACCUUCUCCAGGAGACCUCUUGUUCCUCCAAGUAACUUUUGUUCUGUCUUUGCUAUCUCUCCAUUUAUGUCUCCUGCACUCCUCCACUAGCUACAUCCACUGGACUUCAGCUCUUUUCCCCUCCAAUAUAGGCAGAGUUUUCAGUAUCAGUUAAGCUGGGAGCAUUGGUGUUUCAGGGAGAGAAAGUCAUGUAUGUGUUUAGAUUAUAAAUGGGUUGCACAACACAGAUUUUCUUUAAUCCUAGAAUCAAAUUGGAUGAGAAGACAGCUCUGAUUAGUCAAUUAUCUACUGAACUUCCUCC